RNAcentral lists this ribosomal RNA (403 nucleotides) under uncultured bacterium. RNAcentral's name for it is "bacterial SSU rRNA". It matches the Rfam family "Bacterial small subunit ribosomal RNA", at positions 355 to 775 of the family's 1533-position model. The record is from RNAcentral.
UAGGGAAUAUUAGUAAUGGGCGAAAGCCUGAACUAGCAACGCCGCGUGUGCGAAGAAGGCCUUCGGGUUGUAAAGCACUUUUUGAGAGGAUGAGGAAGGACGGUACUCUCAGAAUAAGUCUCGGCUAACUACGUGCCAGCAGCCGCGGUAACACGUAGGAGGCAAACGUUAUCCGGAUUUACUGGGCGUAAAGCGCGUGUAGGUGGUUUGGUAAGUAGGGCGUGAAAGCUCCUGGCUCAACUGGGAGAGGCCGUUCUAAACUGCCGAACUAGAGGAUUGUAGAGGGAGGUGGAAUUCCGGGUGUAGCGGUGGGAUGCGCAGAUAUCCGGAGGAACACCAGUGGCGAAAGCGGCCUCCUGGACCAUUCCUGACACUCAGACGCGAAAGCUAGGGUAGCAAACGG